UGCUGCCCUGUCAGUCUGUCUACCUGCGACAGCAAUGAAAAGCUAUCGCUGAGUAAAAUUUACUCAGUGGUGCACAAUAACAAUUUAAAAUGUGGUAUGUAAAACUUUUAUUGACAAUUUACAAUCCAAACAAUUCACAAUUUUUCAAAGCUCAUAUAACACAAAUUUGAUCAAACAAUUGAAUAACACAGUGUUGCCAAUCAAUAACUCAACUUAGGUCAUGACAUAAACAUUUCCGAACAUGCUGUUUUGUAUACUACGACAAGGCAUACUCACUCCACUAAUCGAAAUCAAUGAGGAAGGAAGCUAGCUAUAUAAUGAGUACUCAUCCGAUCACCUCAACUGGUAAACCAAAGAGGGAGAAAAAUAAACGAUCACAACUCCAUAAAUGGAGAAGGAAAAUAAACGAUCACAACCCCAUAAAUGGAGAAGGAAUGAUAUGAUACUGUCAUGCUAAGUGUGAACACAAAAUCAAUUCAAAACAAUUUAUUCAAAUAAUUUAUGAAAAAUCUAAUCAAUUUCCAAAGUCAUAUUUGCGAUUAUAAAAUGGCAACACAGUACAUAAUUAAUCACAGAAGUCAAAUUUUUUAGAAUAAAAUAUUUAAACAAGAAUUAUUGUGCACAGACCUGACUUGAGUCGCCUUUAAGCCUUGACUCAGUCUCUUCGAAUUUCCAAGCCUUUUUCAUCUUGUGUGCAGAAUUUUCUUCUCC
RNAcentral lists this unclassified non-coding RNA (711 nucleotides) under Hevea brasiliensis (rubber tree). Lineage: Eukaryota; Viridiplantae; Streptophyta; Magnoliopsida; Malpighiales; Euphorbiaceae. The record is from RNAcentral.